GACGAACGUUGGCGGCGUGCCUAAUACAUGCAAGUCGAGCGGACAGAAGGGAGCUUGCUCCCGGAUGUUAGCGGCGGACGGGUGAGUAACACGUGGGUAACCUGCCUGUAAGACUGGGAUAACUCCGGGAAACCGGAGCUAAUACCGGAUAGUUCCUUGAACCGCAUGGUUCAAGGAUGAAAGACGGUUUCGGCUGUCACUUACAGAUGGACCCGCGGCGCAUUAGCUAGUUGGUGGGGUAAUGGCUCACCAAGGCGACGAUGCGUAGCCGACCUGAGAGGGUGAUCGGCCACACUGGGACUGAGACACGGCCCAGACUCCUACGGGAGGCAGCAGUAGGGAAUCUUCCGCAAUGGACGAAAGUCUGACGGAGCAACGCCGCGUGAGUGAUGAAGGUUUUCGGAUCGUAAAGCUCUGUUGUUAGGGAAGAACAAGUGCGAGAGUAACUGCUCGCACCUUGACGGUACCUAACCAGAAAGCCACGGCUAACUACGUGCCAGCAGCCGCGGUAAUACGUAGGUGGCAAGCGUUGUCCGGAAUUAUUGGGCGUAAAGGGCUCGCGGGUCGGUUUCUUAAGUCUGAUGUGAAAGCCCCCGGCUCAACCGGGGAGGGUCAUUGGAAACUGGGAAACUUGAGUGCAGAAGAGGAGAGUGGAAUUCCACGUGUAGCGGUGAAAUGCGUAGAGAUGUGGAGGAACACCAGUGGCGAAGGCGACUCUCUGGUCUGUAACUGACGCUGAGGAGCGAAAGCGUGGGGAGCGAACAGGAUUAGAUACCCUGGUAGUCCACGCCGUAAACGAUGAGUGCUAAGUGUUAGGGGGUUUCCGCCCCUUAGUGCUGCAGCUAACGCAUUAAGCACUCCGCCUGGGGAGUACGGUCGCAAGACUGAAACUCAAAGGAAUUGACGGGGGCCCGCACAAGCGGUGGAGCAUGUGGUUUAAUUCGAAGCAACGCGAAGAACCUUACCAGGUCUUGACAUCCUCUGACAACCCUAGAGAUAGGGCUUUCCCUUCGGGGACAGAGUGACAGGUGGUGCAUGGUUGUCGUCAGCUCGUGUCGUGAGAUGUUGGGUUAAGUCCCGCAACGAGCGCAACCCUUGAUCUUAGUUGCCAGCAUUCAGUUGGGCACUCUAAGGUGACUGCCGGUGACAAACCGGAGGAAGGUGGGGAUGACGUCAAAUCAUCAUGCCCCUUAUGACCUGGGCUACACACGUGCUACAAUGGACAGAACAAAGGGCUGCAAGACCGCAAGGUUUAGCCAAUCCCAUAAAUCUGUUCUCAGUUCGGAUCGCAGUCUGCAACUCGACUGCGUGAAGCUGGAAUCGCUAGUAAUCGCGGACCAGCAUGCCGCGGUGAAUACGUUCCCGGGCCU
RNAcentral lists this ribosomal RNA (1370 nucleotides) under uncultured bacterium. Its description in RNAcentral is "bacterial SSU rRNA". It matches the Rfam family "Bacterial small subunit ribosomal RNA", at positions 28 to 1381 of the family's 1533-position model. The record is from RNAcentral.